GCGGGUUUGACAAGGUCUUGAUGUGCUGAAUAGUCAUUGGCAGUUUGGAAAUCGAAAAAUUCCUUUGCGCGGAUUCUAAGAGUCUGGGCCA
This 91-nucleotide transfer RNA is filed under the name Ceratocystis platani. Its description in RNAcentral is "tRNA-Thr". The record is from RNAcentral. Lineage: Eukaryota; Fungi; Ascomycota; Sordariomycetes; Microascales; Ceratocystidaceae.